Molecule: small nucleolar RNA, 147 nt
Organism: Acomys russatus (golden spiny mouse)
Lineage: Eukaryota; Metazoa; Chordata; Mammalia; Rodentia; Muridae
Product: small nucleolar RNA SNORA48
Exons: 1
Source: RefSeq, a predicted model, not a curated record
ACCCCCUGACAAUGGGCAAAAAAGAGACACCUUUUUGGUGGUGGUGUUCUUAUAUCAGUCAGCGGCAGAGCAGAUGGCAACCCUUUGUUCAGCUUAGCUUGAUGCCUGGCUCGGUGGCCAGAGCUGUUUUAUACCUAGAACUCAUAA